This is a long non-coding RNA of Talpa occidentalis (Iberian mole), 902 nucleotides long. RefSeq lists it as uncharacterized. NCBI's taxonomy places the organism in Eukaryota, Metazoa, Chordata, Mammalia, Eulipotyphla, Talpidae. The record is from RefSeq and is a predicted model, not a curated record. The transcript is spliced from 3 exons.
CGCUCAGGACUCACUGGAGAAGGCUGAGUGCAGCCCCACCUGGCCGCGCUGCAAAGCGAGAGGCUCAAAGCUGGGUCCGCACAGAGGCGCGCAGGCAUCAGCCGGGUGUGGAGCGCGCACACCCACGGCCAGGCUCCUUCUCCUGGUUUCAAGCUUCCUCUGCCACAGGGAAGCCGGGGCCUGCCUACAAAGGUCCUGGGGACCACCCUCCCAGAGCCGCCUCCUGUCCUGGUGUUUGGUCAUCGCCAGAGGGCAGGGCCGGGUGGAAGGAUCUCCCCAAACGGACUAAGAGACCCAGAUUCCAAACGUAGUAAAGUGGCGGACAACAAUCAUAAGCGGCGGGGAAUCUGGAGCUGAUUUUGGGACUAAGGCAGAUAAAUGUGACAGCAGGAGGUGCUGACAAAUGCGCCCUGAAGGUCAGGUUCUGGCAAGUUAUGUUCUGUGCUCAGCUUGUCCUAACUUCCCAUCCCAUUUGACUUUUUGUUGACAUGGGGAAGAAAGAGGAGUUAUUACAGACUGCAGGAACAACUUGCAUGAAUACUGUGAGCAUUGAGAAGCCCGUGGGACUUUGCAUCAAGAGGAACAGCGUCCCACAGAGGAAAGGCAGCCUUCUCUCCUGGACUGAGUGGAACAUGUCUUCCUGACCUGUGAUCCCAGCCUACCACCUCUCUCCCUGUAUCAUUUAGGAUCUUAUGUCAUCUCUUGCUCCAAGACUACUGUAUAUUUGUUGUGCAAAUUAGCACUAAUAUUAGGUUAAAUACCACACACUUUGGGAAAGUGAAUUGUCUGUUAAGCCAACUAUCAAUUAACAAACUCUGAAAUCAAAUACACAGGUUUUUACAGUUUUUUUUCCCCCCUGAAUUAUCCAUGACCAAAAAACCAAAACCAAAACAAAUCAAACA